Molecule: ribosomal RNA, 788 nt
Filed under: uncultured fungus
Lineage: Eukaryota; Fungi
Description: eukaryotic LSU rRNA
Rfam family: Eukaryotic large subunit ribosomal RNA
Source: RNAcentral
GAACUUCGAUCAGUAGGAUACCGGUGACUUAGCAUAUCAUAAGCGGAGGAAAAGAACACAGGGAUUGCUCAGUAACGGCGAGUGAAGCGGCAACAGCUCAAAUUGAAAUCUGGCUCUUCAGGGUCCGAGUUGUAAUUGUAGAAGAUGCUUUGGGUGUGGCUCCGGUCUAAGUUCCUUGGACCAGGACGUCAUAGAGGGUGAGAAUCCCGUACGUGACUGGGUGCCUCGCUCGUGUAAAGCUCUUUCGACGAGUCGAGUUGUUUGGGAAUGCAGCUCAAAAUGGGUGGUAAAUUUCAUCUAAAGCUAAAUAUUGGCCAGAGACCGAUAGCGCACAAGUAGAGUGAUCGAAAGAUGAAAAGCACUUUGGAAAGAGAGUUAAACAGUACGUGAAAUUGUUGAAAGGGAAGCGCAUGCAACCAGACUUGCAGGCGGUUGAUCAUCCGAGCUUCUGCCCGGUGCACUCGAUCGUCUUCAGGCCAGCAUCGGUUUUGGUGGGCGGAUAAAGGCCUUGGGAAUGUAGCUUCUUUCGGGGAGUGUUAUAGCCCUCGGUGCAAUGCGCCCUACCGGGACCGAGGACCGCGCUUCGGCUAGGAUGCUGGCGUAAUGGUUGUAAGCGACCCGUCUUGAAACACGGACCAAGGAGUCUAACAUCUAUGCGAGUGUUUGGGUGUCAAACCCAUACGCGUAAUGAAAGUGAACGGAGGUGAGAACCCUUAAGGGUGCAUCAUCGACCGAUCCUGAUGUCUUCGGAUGGAUUUGAGUAAGAGCAUAGCUGUUGGGACCCGAAA